AGCCCCGUCGUCUAGUGGUCACUUAAAGCCAUAGAAGGAUGCGAGACUCUGGAUCUCGCGACCGAGGUUCAAAUCCUCGCGGGGCUA
This 87-nucleotide transfer RNA is filed under the name Candidatus Woesearchaeota archaeon. Its description in RNAcentral is "tRNA-Gln". It matches the Rfam family "tRNA". Rfam says of the family: Transfer RNA (tRNA) molecules are approximately 80 nucleotides in length. Their secondary structure includes four short double-helical elements and three loops (D, anti-codon, and T loops). The record is from RNAcentral. Lineage: Archaea; Nanobdellati; Candidatus Woesearchaeota.